RNAcentral lists this RNase P RNA (407 nucleotides) under Phycisphaerales bacterium. RNAcentral's name for it is "RNase P RNA component class A". It matches the Rfam family "Bacterial RNase P class A". Rfam says of the family: Ribonuclease P (RNase P) is a ubiquitous endoribonuclease, found in archaea, bacteria and eukarya as well as chloroplasts and mitochondria. Its best characterised activity is the generation of mature 5'-ends of tRNAs by cleaving the 5'-leader elements of precursor-tRNAs. Lineage: Bacteria; Pseudomonadati; Planctomycetota; Phycisphaerae; Phycisphaerales. The record is from RNAcentral.
GUGCACGGACACGCGGUCGCCGUCGCACGGCUCCGGUCGCUGCGGCGGAGGAAAGUCCGAACACGGAAGGACACGGUGGUGGGCAACACCCACCGGCCCACGAUCUCGGGGCCAGGGACAGUGCCACAGAAAAGACACCGCCUCCAGCGGGUUCGCCCCGCUGGCGGUAAGGGUGAAAUGGUGCGGUAAGAGCGCACCGCUCGAGCGGCGACGCUCGGGGCAGGGCAAACCCCACCGCGUGUAAGCGCAAGCAGCCCCCGUGCCGCCUCGGCGGCACGCCCGCGGUCCGCGGGUCGCGGGGCGGGUAGCGUGCUCGAGGUCGUCGGCAACGGCGGCCCCAGAGAAAUGGCCGCGCCGUCCCGGCUUGCCGGAACGCGACAGAAUUCGGCUUAUGUCCGUGUGCGAUC